GCAAGUCGAGCGAGGCUUCGAGCCGAGCGGCGGACGGCUGAGUAACACGUUGGUAGCUACCCCCCACUCAGGGAUAACGUCGAGAAAUUGGCGCUAAUACCGGAUAGUCCCGUAAGGGUAAAGAUUUAUCGGUGGGGGAGGUGCCUGCGGCCUAUCAGCUAGUUGGUGAGGUAAUGGCUCACCAAGGCUAUGACGGGUAACUGGUCUGAGAGGAUGAUC
RNAcentral lists this ribosomal RNA (219 nucleotides) under uncultured bacterium. RNAcentral's name for it is "partial 16S ribosomal RNA". It matches the Rfam family "Bacterial small subunit ribosomal RNA", at positions 57 to 305 of the family's 1533-position model. The record is from RNAcentral.